CGACAGUUACAGGUGAGGAACAGGGUAGGAUUACUGUGGCUGGAAGCUGGGAAAAGCCAACACAGGCUUCCUGCUCUCUCCCACCCCACCUUGGCCACCCGGAGCUGGCGGGGUAUAUGUGCGGGGGCUGUGUUUGUGGACAGGUCCCCCUCGGGGUUAAAGUGCUCCUGGAGGGAGGGGAGAGCGGGAGAGCGGCGGAGCAAACGGCGCAGCGGAGCUCGGGAACUUGCAGGUGGAUUAAAGCUGGAAGGAUAGCCUCAGAGCCCGGAGCACUCACUGGCUUUUCAGCCUAGAAUUACCCUUUAAAUAUGAAGGUAUCACCCUUUCUCAAAGGGACUUAACUUCCAUUGGGAUUCCAAUAUCACCUGCUGCAUCUGCCCUUAUGAUCUGAAUAUUUCCAUUUGUUGCUCGGAACGUUUUGCAAAGGACAUUGGCUGCAGCUUCAACAGUGUUUUAUUUGUGAGGAACAAGCUGCUUGGAUGGAGAAACCAAAUCAGGAAUUGUUUCAGAGAAAAAACAUGUGUGGGUGAAAGAAAUGGAUUUGAAUGCAGAAAGUCAGAGAGAUGAAAAAAGCACAAAUUGCUGGAAAAAUCUCAGCAGGUCUGGCAGCAUCUGUGGAGAGAAAUCAGAGUUAACGUUUCGGGUCCAGUGUUGUUUAUAAAUCAGCGAGAUAUGUGUUUUGAGUGAGAGCCAUUGCCCUCUCCUGCCUUCUCUACCUUUUCUCUCUGAAGCCUCAUCAAAGUUUGUCAGUUGACCAUCGACUUGGAGAUUAGAUCACAAUUUCAAGGUUCUGAAAGGAGAAUUUGGACGGUAACACCACUGUUUCAACAGAAAGUAACUUCAGCCAGCCAAACUGAUCCAGGAAAACACUUCCCUGCCAACAGCUUUUGAGCAAAGUGACUUCAGCUUCAGACCACCAUUUGGACAAUUUGUGUCAAAUUCUUUUUCCUGAAUUUAAUUGUCACUUAGCCAAAGCACUUUU
Long non-coding RNA from Rhincodon typus (whale shark), 982 nucleotides. RefSeq lists it as uncharacterized. Lineage: Eukaryota; Metazoa; Chordata; Chondrichthyes; Orectolobiformes; Rhincodontidae. The record is from RefSeq and is a predicted model, not a curated record. The transcript has 3 exons.